This 478-nucleotide ribosomal RNA is filed under the name uncultured bacterium. RNAcentral's name for it is "bacterial SSU rRNA". It matches the Rfam family "Bacterial small subunit ribosomal RNA", at positions 8 to 526 of the family's 1533-position model. The record is from RNAcentral.
AGAGUUUGAUCCUGGCUCAGGAUGAACGCUGGCGGUCUGCUUAACACAUGCAAGUCGAACGGGGCACUAUUUAUAGUGCUUAGUGGCGGACGGGUGAGUAACGCGUGAGGAUCUAGCUACAGGACGGGGACAACAGUUGGAAACGGCUGCUAAUACCCGAUGUGCCGGGAGGUGAAAGAUUUAUCGCCUGUAGAUGAGCUUGCGUCAGAUUAGCUAGUUGGAGUGGUAACGGCACACCAAGGCGACGAUCUGUAGCUGGUCUGAGAGGAUGGCCAGCCACACUGGAACUGAGACACGGUCCAGACUCCUACGGGAGGCAGCAGUGGGGAAUUUUCCGCAAUGGGCGCAAGCCUGACGGAGCAAGACCGCGUGCGGGAUGAAGGUCUGUGGAUUGUAAACCGCUUUUGUCAGGGAAGAAGGAUGACGGUACCUGACGAAUCAGCCUCGGCUAACUCCGUGCCAGCCGCCGCGGUAAUAC